This 669-nucleotide unclassified non-coding RNA is filed under the name Hevea brasiliensis (rubber tree). The record is from RNAcentral. Lineage: Eukaryota; Viridiplantae; Streptophyta; Magnoliopsida; Malpighiales; Euphorbiaceae.
GCAUUUGAUCCCUACUAAUUGAGUAAUCCAACAACCAUCAUGUAGUACAGACCUUUGAUCAAACAUUUCCCAAAAUAGUACAAAGUUUUCAUACUACAAAGGAUAUAUCAACAAGAUGAACAAAAAGAGACCUUAAGACAUUCAAUCUUCUCCCAUCUCACCUUUAAUUACCAUUCUAAGAAUACCAUUUUUCAUUUGUGCUUCAACCUUCUCAGCUUUACAGCAAUCAGUGCUAAACUCGAGACUCCCUCCGUAUUUCCUCCCUGAUUCCUCAGAUUCCACUUCAAUGUCUCCUUUGCCAGUGAAGUAAACCGUGUUGUUCUCUAACCAGACCUUAAUCCCAUCUUCACCAACGCUAGGCAUUGCCACUCUCACAAGUAUACCAUCCUUCAGUGUAUCCACUUCUAGCACCUCUUUCGGUCCUGCUGACUGAAACGGGUUCUCCAUCUUGAAUUCUUGUGGAGAACCCGUCACCAGAAUUGGCUCAGUAGAGUUUUUCUGCUCAUUGCUCAGGGAAUUUGAAUCUGCAGUUGUAAUGGAGGAAAAAAAGCGUGUGAUUGAAGGAGCGGCGGUAGUAAAUUUGGAUUUAGAGCUGAGUAAUUUGAACAGUGUCGAUGCUCCGGCGGCUUUUCUGAUAGUCAGAGCCAUUGACAUUUUCCCCGAUCAAUU